Molecule: long non-coding RNA, 979 nt
Organism: Aedes aegypti (yellow fever mosquito)
Lineage: Eukaryota; Metazoa; Arthropoda; Insecta; Diptera; Culicidae
Exons: 3
Source: RefSeq, a predicted model, not a curated record
GAUUAAAAUAAAGUCUUUUUUGUCAUUCUUGACUUCUACACGAGGGUUAGUAUAAGAUAUAUACUUUCGUAAAAUAUAAAGUUAACCUAAUGCAGAUUUGUGCAAAAGUAUUUUUCCGUGUGUAAAACCCUUCAAACAAAAUUUUGCCGCCAUUGCAACUGUUUGUUUUUCACUGGUAAAAACUCUGAAAGCCGAACUCGGUGUUGAAAUCUUUAGCAUUUAAAGGCAAAAAAUAGUGUAGAGACGUUUGUUUUACGAAAUAUCAGGAAAAAAAGCAAUCAUGAAUGUUACCGCUUUCUAAUAAGGGAGAACUCCAGGAACCUGCUCCAAGUAUUCCAAAGACAUGGAACAGGGAAGUGGAAAAGGUCACCAGCGAAAAAUUAAAUCCGGAACCAACAUAUCAAUCGAACGCCGCAUUAUUUGGAAACAUCGCAGUAGCGUAUUCUGGCCGCCGAACAAACUGGGCUUGGUAUCCUACUAGACCGGACUGUUCCUUGAAACAACCGGAAUUGUGUUUCUGCAUGCGUUGCAAGCAUAAGCCACUCAUUAACUCAUUUCGUCGGAGGAAGCAGUGGCCGUGAUGGAUUACCCACAAAUGUAUCCGGACAAGUUUGUAUUAUGGCCAGCAGCAUCAGAUAACGAUUCCUUAAGAUCUGCGAGUACCCUGACUCCGGCCGUUGAAGGAAAAACUAUAACAGUCCCUUCAACGGCGAUGUAAAUUAAGAUUAUCGAUGUUCAGUUUCAUAAGGAUUUGUAGUCAAAUUAGUGCUGUCGGGAGAUAAAAUCCUUUUCUGAUUCUGGUUGAAACUUGUAAAAUUGUUGAAUGGUUUUAAUAAUUGUUGAUAAAUAAAAAUAAUGUGGCAUAUAUUUAUUUAUUGACCUUUCUAUAAUAGAAAGAAUAAAACGAUGAAAUUUGUAUCCUUUUUAGUAUUCAUUAGCAGCUAUCCUAUACUAAUGUACGUUUAUCAUCAAGUUAUAC